GACGAGGGACCCUAGCGUUGUUCGGAAUCAUUGGGCGUAAAGCGGGUGUAGGUGGCUUUGUAAGUCAGGUGUGAAAUCCCUGGGCUCAACCCAGGAAGUGCAUUUGAUACUGCGAAGCUUGAGUGCCGGAGAGGUUACUGGAAUACCUGGUGUAGUGGUGAAAUACGUAGAUAUCAGGUGGAACACCGGAGGCGAAGGCGGGUAACUGGCCGGACACUGACACUCAGACCCGAAAGCGUGGGGAUCAAACAGG
Molecule: ribosomal RNA, 253 nt
Filed under: uncultured bacterium
Lineage: Bacteria
Also listed under: 2 other names
Description: partial 16S ribosomal RNA
Rfam family: Bacterial small subunit ribosomal RNA
Source: RNAcentral